RNAcentral lists this ribosomal RNA (460 nucleotides) under uncultured Bacteroidota bacterium. RNAcentral describes it as "bacterial SSU rRNA". It matches the Rfam family "Bacterial small subunit ribosomal RNA", at positions 338 to 795 of the family's 1533-position model. Lineage: Bacteria; Pseudomonadati; Bacteroidota. The record is from RNAcentral.
CCUACGGGCGGCUGCAGUAAGGAAUAUUGGACAAUGGGCGCAAGCCUGAUCCAGCCAUGCCGCGUGAAGGAUUAAGGCCCUAUGGGUUGUAAACUUCUUUUAUACGGGACAAAACCCCUCUACGUGUAGAGGGUUGAUGGUACUGUAAGAAUAAGCAUCGGCUAACUUCGUGCCAGCAGCCGCGGUAAUACGAAGGAUGCAAGCGUUAUCCGGAAUUAUUGGGUUUAAAGGGUGCGUAGGCGGACCUAUAAGUCAGUGGUGAAAGCCCCAAGCUCAACUUGGGAACUGCCAUUGAUACUGUUGGUCUUGAGUACAGUUGAGGUAGGCGGAAUGUGUCAUGUAGCGGUGAAAUGCUUAGAUAUGACACAGAACACCGAUUGCGAAGGCAGCUUGCUAAGCUGUAACUGACGCUGAUGCACGAAAGCGUGGGUAGCAAACAGGAUUAGAUACCCUUGUAGUC